Molecule: ribosomal RNA, 375 nt
Filed under: uncultured organism
Description: bacterial SSU rRNA
Rfam family: Bacterial small subunit ribosomal RNA
Source: RNAcentral
CGUAGGUGGCAAGCGUUGGGGUCCGGAAUUAUUGGGCGUAAAGCGCGCGCAGGCGGUUCCUUAAGUCUGAUGUGAAAGCCCCCGGCUCAACCGGGGAAGGUCAUUGGAAACUGGGGAACUUGAGUGCAGAAGAGAAGAGCGGAAUUCCACGUGUAGCGGUGAAAUGCGUAGAGAUGUGGAGGAACACCAGUGGCGAAGGCGGCUCUUUGGUCUGUAACUGACGCUGAGGCGCGAAAGCGUGGGGAGCAAACAGGAUUAGAUACCCUGGUAGUCCACGCCGUAAACGAUGAGUGCUAAGUGUUAGAGGGUUUCCGCCCUUUAGUGCUGCAGCUAACGCAUUAAGCACUCCGCCUGGGGAGUACGGCCGCAAGGCUG